UCGGAAUUACUGGGCGUAAAGACGCAUGCAGGCGGCCGCGUUAAGUCAGAUGUGAAAGACCGGGCGUUAACCUCGGAAUUGCAUUUGUAAACUAGGCAGGCUAGAGUCUUGUAGAGGGGGUAGGAAGUUUCAGGUGUAGCGGUGAAAUGCGUAGAGAUCUGAAGGAAUACCAGUGGCGAAGGCGGCCCCUCGGACAAAGACUGACGCUCAGAUGCGAAAGCGUGGGGAGCAAACAGGAUUAGAUACCCUGGUAG
RNAcentral lists this ribosomal RNA (254 nucleotides) under uncultured bacterium. Its description in RNAcentral is "partial 16S ribosomal RNA". It matches the Rfam family "Bacterial small subunit ribosomal RNA", at positions 545 to 793 of the family's 1533-position model. The record is from RNAcentral.